This 497-nucleotide ribosomal RNA is filed under the name uncultured bacterium. Its description in RNAcentral is "partial 16S ribosomal RNA". It matches the Rfam family "Bacterial small subunit ribosomal RNA", at positions 28 to 507 of the family's 1533-position model. The record is from RNAcentral.
GAUGAACGCUGGCGGCGUGCCUAAUACAUGCAAGUCGAGCGAACGGACGAGAACCUUUCUUUUCGGAUGUUAGCGGCGGACGGGGGAUUAAUACGUGGUUAACCUACCUAUCCGACUUGGAGAAUUUCGGCAUACCGGAGUGAAUACCGCAUGAUAUUCUGAAUCGCAUGGUUCAUGAGUGUGAGACGGUCUUGCUGUCACUUGUAGAUGGACUCGCGCUGCAUUAGCUAGUUGGUGAGGUAACGGCUUACCAAGGCGCCGAUGAAUAGCCGACCUGAGAGGAUGAUCGGCCACACUAGAACUGAGACACGAUCCAGAAGACUACGGCAGGCAGCAGUAGGGAAGAUUACGCAAUGGGCGAAGGAAUGCCGGAGCAACGCCGCGUGAGUGAUGAAGGUCUUCGGCGCGUAGAAAUCCGUUAUCGGGGAAGAACAUAUGUGGACGUGAUUGUGCAUAUCUUGACGGUACCUAAUCAGAAAGCCCCGGCUAACUACGUG